UACGUAGGGGGCAAGCGUUGUCCGGAUUUAUUGGGCGUAAAGCGCGUGUAGGCGGCCAGGUAGGUCAGCUGUGAAAACUCGAGGCUCAACCUCGAGAUGUCGGCUGAAACCAUCUGGCUAGAGUCCGGAAGAGGAGAAUGGAAUUCCCGGUGUAGCGGUGAAAUGCGCAGAUAUCGGGAAGAACACCCGUGGCGAAGGCGGUUCUCUGGGACGGUACUGACGCUGAGACGCGAAAGCGUGGGGAGCGAACAGGAUUAGAAACCCCCGUAGUCC
This 273-nucleotide ribosomal RNA is filed under the name uncultured bacterium. RNAcentral's name for it is "partial 16S ribosomal RNA". It matches the Rfam family "Bacterial small subunit ribosomal RNA", at positions 524 to 796 of the family's 1533-position model. The record is from RNAcentral.